This 615-nucleotide ribosomal RNA is filed under the name Triticum aestivum (bread wheat). RNAcentral's name for it is "partial small subunit ribosomal RNA". The record is from RNAcentral. Lineage: Eukaryota; Viridiplantae; Streptophyta; Magnoliopsida; Poales; Poaceae.
AUGAUUCUUCCAUCUGGACUACUAGCCCUUCUAAUCCAAAAUCAGCUUUUUGGUCCUCCAUUCUCAAAAUACUGCCCAAACUCAAAGCUCAUUCUUUUUACCAGAUUACUCAAGGUAAUAUUUCUAUAUGGAGCACCCCUUGGUGCUCGCGUUGGAAUGCUAUUUAUGAUCAUCUUAUUAUUCAACCUUCAGGAUAUAGUUACCCUUCUCUUGUUAAAGAUCUUUGGGUUCCCGAUAGGAAAGAAUGGAAUUCUACCCUUAUUUACUCUCUUUUCCAACAACCUCUUGCUUCUACUAUUAUGCAGACUGAUAUUAUUCAAGAGGACGGUCCAGAUAUUCUGUGUUGGGACCUUACCCCUAAUGGUAUUUGUACUUCUAAAUCUACUUAUAAGAUGUGUUUGCAGGAUUCAUGCCAAUCCUAGAUUUGCACCUUCUCAGGUUUCUUUGCAGGUCAAGAAUCUUCUAAAUGAGGUCUGGAAACAAAAGAUGAUGAUUCCCAGGGUAAAAACUUUUGCUUGGAGGCUUCUUAGAAAAGCUCUUCCCACAGGUUUGAGAGCUGGCCGCUUCUCCGUGCACAUAUCUCAACUUUGUAGCAGAUGCGGGGAAAACGAUUAA